Molecule: ribosomal RNA, 440 nt
Filed under: uncultured bacterium
Lineage: Bacteria
Description: bacterial SSU rRNA
Rfam family: Bacterial small subunit ribosomal RNA
Source: RNAcentral
GAUGAACGCUGGCGGCGUGCCUAACACAUGCAAGUCGAACGGAGUCCAACCUCUAAGACCUUCGGGUCAAAGAGGGGAAGACUGAGUGGCGGACGGGUGAGUAACACGUGGGCAACCUGGCUCAUAGAGGGGGAUAACAGAGAGAAAUUUCUGCUAAUACCGCAUAAGCACACACUGCCGCAUGGCAGAGUGUGAAAAGAGAAUCGCUAUGAGAUGGACCCGCGUCUGAUUAGCCAGUUGGCAGGGUAAGAGCCUACCAAAGCGACGAUCAGUAGCCGAUCUGAGAGGAUGAACGGCCACAUUGGGACUGAGACACGGCCCAAACUCCUACGGGAGGCAGCAGUGGGGGAUAUUGCACAAUGGGGGGAACCCUGAUGCAGCGACGCCGCGUGAGUGAAGAAGUAUUUCGGUAUGUAAAGCUCUAUCAGCAGGGAAGAUAA